RNAcentral lists this ribosomal RNA (253 nucleotides) under uncultured bacterium. RNAcentral describes it as "partial 16S ribosomal RNA". It matches the Rfam family "Bacterial small subunit ribosomal RNA", at positions 524 to 776 of the family's 1533-position model. The record is from RNAcentral.
UACGGGGGGGGCAAGCGUUGUUCGGAAUUACUGGGCGUAAAGGGCUCGUAGGCGGCCAACUAAGUCAGACGUGAAAUCCCUCGGCUUAACCGGGGAACUGCGUCUGAUACUGGAUGGCUAGAGGUUGGGAGAGGGAUGCGGAAUUCCAGGUGUAGAGGUGAAAUUCGUAGAUAUCGAGAGGAACACCGGUGGCGAAGGCGGCCUUCUGGACAGUGACUGACGCUGAGACGCGAAAGCGUGGGGAGCAAACAGG